UAGCUAGUUGGUAGGGUAAAGACCUACCAAGGCGACGAUCGGUAGCUGGUCUGAGAGGAUGGCCAGCCACACUGGAACUGAGACACGGUCCAGACUCCUACGGGAGGCAGCAGUGGGGAAUAUUGGACAAUGGGGGCAACCCUGAUCCAGCAAUGCCGCGUGUGUGAAGAAGGCCUGAGGGUUGUAAAGCACUUUCAGUGGGGAGGAGGUUACUUAGGUUAAGAGCUAGAGUAAUGGACGUUACCCACAGAAGAAGCACCGGCUAACUCCGUGCCAGCAGCCGCGGUAAUACGGAGGGUGCGAGCGUUAAUCGGAAUUACUGGGCGUAAAGAGUGCGUAGGUGGUUAAUUAAGUUAUCUGUGAAAUCCCUGGGCUCAACCUGGGCAGGUCAGAUAAUACUGGUUAACUCGAGUAUGGGAGAGGGUAGUGGAAUUUCCGGUGUAGCGGUGAAAUGCGUAGAGAUCGGAAGGAACACCAGUGGCGAAGGCGGCUACCUGGCCUAAUACUGACACUGAGGCACGAAAGCGUGGGGAGCAAACAGGAUUAGAUACCCUGGUAGUCCACGCCGUAAACGAUGUCAACUAGCUGUUGGUUAUAUGAAUAUAAUUAGUGGCGA
Molecule: ribosomal RNA, 616 nt
Filed under: uncultured Legionella sp.
Lineage: Bacteria; Pseudomonadati; Pseudomonadota; Gammaproteobacteria; Legionellales; Legionellaceae
Description: bacterial SSU rRNA
Rfam family: Bacterial small subunit ribosomal RNA
Source: RNAcentral